RNAcentral lists this ribosomal RNA (2923 nucleotides) under Klebsiella pneumoniae. RNAcentral describes it as "23S ribosomal RNA". It matches the Rfam family "Bacterial large subunit ribosomal RNA". Lineage: Bacteria; Pseudomonadati; Pseudomonadota; Gammaproteobacteria; Enterobacterales; Enterobacteriaceae. The record is from RNAcentral.
GGGUUGUGAGGUUAAGCGACUAAGCGUACACGGUGGAUGCCCUGGCAGUCAGAGGCGAUGAAGGACGUGCUAAUCUGCGAAAAGCGUCGGUAAGGUGAUAUGAACCGUUAUAACCGGCGAUGUCCGAAUGGGGAAACCCAGUGCAAUUCGUUGCACUAUCGUUAACUGAAUACAUAGGUUAACGAGGCGAACCGGGGGAACUGAAACAUCUAAGUACCCCGAGGAAAAGAAAUCAACCGAGAUUCCCCCAGUAGCGGCGAGCGAACGGGGAGCAGCCCAGAGUCUGAAUCAGCUUGUGUGUUAGUGGAACGGUCUGGAAAGUCCGACGGUACAGGGUGAUAGUCCCGUACACCAAAAUGCACAGGUUGUGAACUCGAAGAGUAGGGCGGGACACGUGGUAUCCUGUCUGAAUAUGGGGGGACCAUCCUCCAAGGCUAAAUACUCCUGACUGACCGAUAGUGAACCAGUACCGUGAGGGAAAGGCGAAAAGAACCCCGGCGAGGGGAGUGAAAAAGAACCUGAAACCGUGUACGUACAAGCAGUGGGAGCACCUUCGGGUGUGACUGCGUACCUUUUGUAUAAUGGGUCAGCGACUUAUAUUCUGUAGCAAGGUUAACCGUAUAGGGGAGCCGCAGGGAAACCGAGUCUUAACUGGGCGUUAAGUUGCAGGGUAUAGACCCGAAACCCGGUGAUCUAGCCAUGGGCAGGUUGAAGGUUGGGUAACACUAACUGGAGGACCGAACCGACUAAUGUUGAAAAAUUAGCGGAUGACUUGUGGCUGGGGGUGAAAGGCCAAUCAAACCGGGAGAUAGCUGGUUCUCCCCGAAAGCUAUUUAGGUAGCGCCUCGUGAAUUCAUCUUCGGGGGUAGAGCACUGUUUCGGCUAGGGGGUCAUCCCGACUUACCAACCCGAUGCAAACUACGAAUACCGAAGAAUGUUAUCACGGGAGACACACGGCGGGUGCUAACGUCCGUCGUGAAGAGGGAAACAACCCAGACCGCCAGCUAAGGUCCCAAAGUCAUGGUUAAGUGGGAAACGAUGUGGGAAGGCACAGACAGCCAGGAUGUUGGCUUAGAAGCAGCCAUCAUUUAAAGAAAGCGUAAUAGCUCACUGGUCGAGUCGGCCUGCGCGGAAGAUGUAACGGGGCUAAACCAUGCACCGAAGCUGCGGCAGCGACACUAUGUGUUGUUGGGUAGGGGAGCGUUCUGUAAGCCUGCGAAGGUGACCUGUGAGGGUUGCUGGAGGUAUCAGAAGUGCGAAUGCUGACAUAAGUAACGAUAAAGCGGGUGAAAAGCCCGCUCGCCGGAAGACCAAGGGUUCCUGUCCAACGUUAAUCGGGGCAGGGUGAGUCGACCCCUAAGGCGAGGCCGAAAGGCGUAGUCGAUGGGAAACAGGUUAAUAUUCCUGUACUUGGUGUUACUGCGAAGGGGGGACGGAGAAGGCUAUGUUAGCCGGGCGACGGUUGUCCCGGUUUAAGCAUGUAGGCUGGUUAUCCAGGCAAAUCCGGAUAAUCAAGGCUGAGGUGUGAUGACGAGGCACUACGGUGCUGAAGUAACAAAUGCCCUGCUUCCAGGAAAAGCCUCUAAGCAUCAGGUAACAUUAAAUCGUACCCCAAACCGACACAGGUGGUCAGGUAGAGAAUACCAAGGCGCUUGAGAGAACUCGGGUGAAGGAACUAGGCAAAAUGGUGCCGUAACUUCGGGAGAAGGCACGCUGGUGUGUAGGUGAAGCCCCUGCGGGUGGAGCUGAGACCAGUCGAAGAUACCAGCUGGCUGCAACUGUUUAUUAAAAACACAGCACUGUGCAAACACGAAAGUGGACGUAUACGGUGUGACGCCUGCCCGGUGCCGGAAGGUUAAUUGAUGGGGUUAUCCGUAAGGAGAAGCUCUUGAUCGAAGCCCCGGUAAACGGCGGCCGUAACUAUAACGGUCCUAAGGUAGCGAAAUUCCUUGUCGGGUAAGUUCCGACCUGCACGAAUGGCGUAAUGAUGGCCAGGCUGUCUCCACCCGAGACUCAGUGAAAUUGAACUCGCUGUGAAGAUGCAGUGUACCCGCGGCAAGACGGAAAGACCCCGUGAACCUUUACUAUAGCUUGACACUGAACAUUGAGCCUUGAUGUGUAGGAUAGGUGGGAGGCUUUGAAGCGUGGACGCCAGUCUGCGUGGAGCCAACCUUGAAAUACCACCCUUUAAUGUUUGAUGUUCUAACGUUGGCCCCUGACCGGGGUUGCGGACAGUGUCUGGUGGGUAGUUUGACUGGGGCGGUCUCCUCCCAAAGCGUAACGGAGGAGCACGAAGGUUAGCUAAUCCUGGUCGGACAUCAGGAGGUUAGUGCAAUGGCAUAAGCUAGCUUGACUGCGAGCGUGACGGCGCGAGCAGGUGCGAAAGCAGGUCAUAGUGAUCCGGUGGUUCUGAAUGGAAGGGCCAUCGCUCAACGGAUAAAAGGUACUCCGGGGAUAACAGGCUGAUACCGCCCAAGAGUUCAUAUCGACGGCGGUGUUUGGCACCUCGAUGUCGGCUCAUCACAUCCUGGGGCUGAAGUAGGUCCCAAGGGUAUGGCUGUUCGCCAUUUAAAGUGGUACGCGAGCUGGGUUUAGAACGUCGUGAGACAGUUCGGUCCCUAUCUGCCGUGGGCGCUGGAGAAUUGAGGGGGGCUGCUCCUAGUACGAGAGGACCGGAGUGGACGCAUCACUGGUGUUCGGGUUGUCAUGCCAAUGGCACUGCCCGGUAGCUAAAUGCGGAAGAGAUAAGUGCUGAAAGCAUCUAAGCACGAAACUUGCCCCGAGAUGAGUUCUCCCUGAGACUUUAAGUCUCCUGAAGGAACGUUAAAGACGAUGACGUUGAUAGGCCGGGUGUGUAAGCGCAGCGAUGCGUUGAGCUAACCGGUACUAAUGAACCGUGAGGCUUAACCUUACAACGCCGAAG